RNAcentral lists this long non-coding RNA (953 nucleotides) under Brachypodium distachyon (stiff brome). RNAcentral describes it as "long non-coding RNA (BDIS_LNC004060)". The record is from RNAcentral. Lineage: Eukaryota; Viridiplantae; Streptophyta; Magnoliopsida; Poales; Poaceae.
UGGCCUGACCUGCAAGUAAAUGGUAAGCAGAUUUAACUGUAUACAUACCGCGCUUUUCUGCACUCCAGGCCCAAAGAUCUUCUCGCAGCUUCCCUAGGGGAAUUUUUCGCACCGCCUUUUCAUCCAUCGGUAACAGAUUAUCAUGCAAAGCUUGGCUAUUCCAUGUUAGGCCAUCUGAAGAAAUAAGAUCACACACCUUUUCUGCUUUUGCCUCUGGUUUUCUAUAGAUUGGCCUAAAACCUGGAGCUUCAGGAAUCCACUUGUCAUCCCAUAUACUAGUGGAAGUGCCAUUACCAAUUCUUCUAAUUAACCCUGCACGUAAUACUUCCCUUCCUCUUAAAAUUGCUUGCCAAGUGUGAGAGCUACCUCUUUUCUUUUUUGCUGUCAACAAACUGCCUUCAUGAAAAUAUUUGCCUUUAAGAGUUCUUGCGCAUAAGGAAUCUGGUCUGGUAAUUAAUCUCCAUCCUUGCUUCCCGAGCAUGCCCAAGUUAAACAAGUGGAGAUCUUUGAAUCCCAUUCCUCCUCCCUUCUUAGCAUGGGCAAUUUCUGACCAUUCCUCCAAUGCAUCUUUUUCUUAUCUUCAUCUCCUCCCCACCAAAAUCUAGAAAUGGACGAAGUCAUCUUCUUGCAAGUUGUUUUCGACAACUUGAAACAGCUCAUGGAAUAUGUGGGACUGAUUGAGCAACAACUUUUAUGAGUAUUUCCCUUCCCGCUGCACUAAGCUUUCUCUCGCACCAGUCCCCCACCAGAUUGUUUAUUUGCGUGCUUAAUUUUUCAAAAGCCUUGGUACUUGACUGCCCUAGAGCUGUCGGUAGUCCUAGGUACCUCUCCUCUAGGGCCUCUUUAUCUAUGUUCAGCACUUGAGUUACUUCCUUCUUGCUUUCUUGGCAAUUUUUACUGAAGAAAAUUGCUGUUUUGUACGGUUUACUAGUUGCCCGGAUCCUCUAUUAUAG